UACGUAGGGGGCAAGCGUUGUCCGGAAUCAUUGGGCGUAAAGCGCGCGUAGGCGGCCCGGUAAGUCCGUUGUGAAAGUCAAAGGCUCAACCUUUGAACGCCGAUGGAUACUGCCGGGCUAGAGUCCGGAAGAGGCGAGUGGAAUUCCUGGUGUAGCGGUGAAAUGCGCAGAUAUCAGGAAGAACACCCGUGGCGAAAGCGGCUCUCUGGAACGGUACUGACGCUGAGACGCGAAAGCGUGGGGAGCGAACAGG
RNAcentral lists this ribosomal RNA (253 nucleotides) under uncultured bacterium. RNAcentral's name for it is "partial 16S ribosomal RNA". It matches the Rfam family "Bacterial small subunit ribosomal RNA", at positions 524 to 776 of the family's 1533-position model. The record is from RNAcentral.